UUAGAGGAUCGAAACGAGUUGUGAUGGAAGUCUUGAACGACUGAUAAUCCGAUCCAAGACCUCCUAACGCUAGAAGGAUUAAUUGAGAAUCCUUGAGAAUGUCUCCAGCAGCUGCAAGUCGAUCAUUCAUUUGAGUGAUCUUGUCGAGAUAAUCACCCAUCUUGAGAGAUCCUUUGCGAAAUGACUGAAGCCUGUGUCGGAGGUUGAGCACCCUGGUUUCAGAACC
RNAcentral lists this long non-coding RNA (226 nucleotides) under Zostera marina. RNAcentral describes it as "long non-coding RNA (ZMAR_LNC001797)". Lineage: Eukaryota; Viridiplantae; Streptophyta; Magnoliopsida; Alismatales; Zosteraceae. The record is from RNAcentral.